AUGAGUUUGAUCCUGGCUCAGAGUGAACGCUAGUGGUAUGCCUUGACACAUGCUAGUUGAACGUAACUUAUAAAUUUUUUUUAUUUAAAACAAAUAUUUUAAUUAAACUUAAAAUAAAAUUUUAAAUAAAAAAAAUUCAAAGUUAAGUGGCGUAAGGGUGAGUAAAGCAUAAGAAUCUGCUUAAAAGUUCAAAAGAGAUUUUUGAAUAAGAUUUUAAAAAAAAAUAACUAUUUUUUUUUAUUUUUAAAGAUUGUGGUUUAAAAAACAAAAUCGCUUUUAAAGGAGCUUGUGUAGGAUUAGGUAUUAUGUGAGGUAAAGGCUCACGUAGCCUGAGAUCCUUAGCUGGUAUGGGAGUAUGUUCAGCCACAUUGGGAAUGAAAAAAGGCCCAAGUUCUUUCGAGAGGCAGCAGUGGGGAAUAUUGGACAAUGAGCGAAAGCUUGAUCCAGCGAUACCACGUGAGUGAAGAAGGCUUUAAUUCGACCGUUUCAAUAAGUUAAAAAUUUUUAAUUUUUUGGACGACUGUCAAAUAAUUUAUUUGAGUUCUAUCUGCUGUAAAGCUCUUUCAUUGAAGAAGAUAAUGACGUUAUUCAAAAAAGAAGCCCCGACAAACUUCGUGCCAGCAGUCGCGGUAAUACGGGGGGGGCUGGUGUUACUCAGAAUAAUUGGGCGUAAAGGGUGUGUAGGUUGUUUUUUGGAUUAAAAGUUAAAUACAAGAGCUUAACUUUUGAAAAGCUUUUAAUAUUAAUAAACUAGAGUAUAGAAGAGGAUAGUAGUAUUCUUAGUGGAGAGGUUGAAUUCAGCGAUAUUAAGGAGACUAUCAAAGGCGAAGGCAACUAUCUGGUCUAGAACUGACGCUGAGACACAAAAGCAUGGGUAGCAAACAGGAUUAGAUACCCUGGUAGUCCAUGCCCUGACCUAUGAAUGUUGAACAUUGGAUAACAUUUUCCUUUAAGGAGAGAAAGAUUCAGUGUUUAAGCUAACGCGUUAAACAUUCCGCCUGGGGACUACGAUCGCAAGGUUGAAACUCAAAGGAAUUGGCGGAGAUUUGUACAAGCGGUGGAGCAUGUGGUUUAAUUCGAUAAUCCGCGAAGAACCUUACCAAGUUUAGACUUAGAAAUUUGAGCAAAAAAAUUAUUUUUUGUGUAUUUUUUAUUUUUUUUUAUUAAAAAGUAAAAAAGAUUUCUUGCAGGUGUUGCAUGGCUGUCGUCAGCUCGUGUUGUAAAAUGUUUGGUUAACUCCUUUAACGAGCGUAACCCUUAUUUUUAAUUUAUAUUUAAAAAAACUGCCUAUGAAAUAUAGGAGAAAGGUAAGGAUCACGUCAAGUCUUCAUGGCCUUUAUAACUUGGGCUAUACACGUGCUACAAUGGUUUUUACAAAAAGAAGCAAUAAUGCAAAUUAAUGCAAAUCUUUAAAAAUUAUCUCAGUUCGGAUUGUUCUCUGAAAUUCGAGAACAUGAAGUUGGAAUCGCUAGUAAUCGUGAAUCAGCACGUCACGGUGAAUUCGUUCCCAAAUCUCGUACACACCGCCCGUCACGCCAUGGGAAUUGGUUUUAUUUGAAAAAUAAUUUAUUAAAAUUGUAUAUAUUUAAUUUUUUAAAUUUUUUUUUAAAAAUUUUAAAUUUAAAGAUAAAGAUUUUAUUUUUAUUUUAUUUUUUUAAAUAUAAGUUUAUAAAAAAUUAAAUCACGAGAAAGUUUAAAAUAAUAACGAUUUUUUUUUAACUUAAUAAAUUUUUGAUUAUAGAAUUAAAGACCAAGGUGAAGUCGUAA
This 1767-nucleotide ribosomal RNA is filed under the name Clydonella sawyeri. RNAcentral describes it as "16S ribosomal RNA". The stretch from base 3 to 1569 matches the Rfam family "Bacterial small subunit ribosomal RNA". The record is from RNAcentral. Lineage: Eukaryota; Discosea; Flabellinia; Vannellidae.